Molecule: transfer RNA, 76 nt
Filed under: Halobacteriovoraceae bacterium
Lineage: Bacteria; Pseudomonadati; Bdellovibrionota; Bacteriovoracia; Bacteriovoracales; Halobacteriovoraceae
Also listed under: 2 other names
Description: tRNA-Thr
Rfam family: tRNA
About the family: Transfer RNA (tRNA) molecules are approximately 80 nucleotides in length. Their secondary structure includes four short double-helical elements and three loops (D, anti-codon, and T loops).
Source: RNAcentral
GCUGGUGUAGCUCAGUUGGUAGAGCAUCGGUUUUGUAAACCGGUGGUCGUAGGUUCAAAUCCUAUCACCAGCUCCA